AUUGGACGCUAGCGGGAUGCCUUACACACGCAAGUCGAACGGCAGCGCGGACUUCGGUCUGGCGGCGAGUGGCGAACGGGUGAGUAAUGUAUCGGAACGUGCCCAGUAGCGGGGGAUAACUACUCGAAAGAGUAGCUAAUACCGCAUACGCCCUACGGGGGAAAGGGGGGGAGCGCAAGACCUCUCACUAUUGGAGCGGCCGAUGUCGGAUUAGCUAGUUGGUGAGGUAAAGGCUCACCAAGGCGACGAUCCGUAGCUGGUUUGAGAGGACGACCAGCCACACUGGGACUGAGACACGGCCCAGACUCCUACGGGAGGCAGCAGUGGGGAAUUUUGGACAAUGGGGGAAACCCUGAUCCAGCCAUUCCGCGUGUGCGAUGAAGGCCUUCGGGUUGUAAAGCACUUUUGGCAGGAAAGAAAUCGCAUCAAUUAAUACUUGGUGUGGAUGACGGUACCUGCAGAAUAAGCACCGGCUAACUACGUGCCAGCAGCCGCGGUAA
Molecule: ribosomal RNA, 500 nt
Filed under: uncultured bacterium
Lineage: Bacteria
Description: partial 16S ribosomal RNA
Rfam family: Bacterial small subunit ribosomal RNA
Source: RNAcentral